This 1325-nucleotide ribosomal RNA is filed under the name Escherichia coli. RNAcentral's name for it is "partial 23S ribosomal RNA". It matches the Rfam family "Bacterial large subunit ribosomal RNA", at positions 419 to 1746 of the family's 2925-position model. The record is from RNAcentral. Lineage: Bacteria; Pseudomonadati; Pseudomonadota; Gammaproteobacteria; Enterobacterales; Enterobacteriaceae.
GGGACACGUGGUAUCCUGUCUGAAUAUGGGGGGACCAUCCUCCAAGGCUAAAUACUCCUGACUGACCGAUAGUGAACCAGUACCGUGAGGGAAAGGCGAAAAGAACCCCGGCGAGGGGAGUGAAAAAGAACCUGAAACCGUGUACGUACAAGCAGUGGGAGCCUCUUUUAUGGGGUGACUGCGUACCUUUUGUAUAAUGGGUCAGCGACUUAUAUUCUGUAGCAAGGUUAACCGAAUAGGGGAGCCGAAGGGAAACCGAGUCUUAACUGGGCGUUAAGUUGCAGGGUAUAGACCCGAAACCCGGUGAUCUAGCCAUGGGCAGGUUGAAGGUUGGGUAACACUAACUGGAGGACCGAACCGACUAAUGUUGAAAAAUUAGCGGAUGACUUGUGGCUGGGGGUGAAAGGCCAAUCAAACCGGGAGAUAGCUGGUUCUCCCCGAAAGCUAUUUAGGUAGCGCCUCGUGAAUUCAUCUCCGGGGGUAGAGCACUGUUUCGGCAAGGGGGUCAUCCCGACUUACCAACCCGAUGCAAACUGCGAAUACCGGAGAAUGUUAUCACGGGAGACACACGGCGGGUGCUAACGUCCGUCGUGAAGAGGGAAACAACCCAGACCGCCAGCUAAGGUCCCAAAGUCAUGGUUAAGUGGGAAACGAUGUGGGAAGGCCCAGACAGCCAGGAUGUUGGCUUAGAAGCAGCCAUCAUUUAAAGAAAGCGUAAUAGCUCACUGGUCGAGUCGGCCUGCGCGGAAGAUGUAACGGGGCUAAACCAUGCACCGAAGCUGCGGCAGCGACGCUUAUGCGUUGUUGGGUAGGGGAGCGUUCUGUAAGCCUGUGAAGGUGUGCUGUGAGGCAUGCUGGAGGUAUCAGAAGUGCGAAUGCUGACAUAAGUAACGAUAAAGCGGGUGAAAAGCCCGCUCGCCGGAAGACCAAGGGUUCCUGUCCAACGUUAAUCGGGGCAGGGUGAGUCGACCCCUAAGGCGAGGCCGAAAGGCGUAGUCGAUGGGAAACAGGUUAAUAUUCCUGUACUUGGUGUUACUGCGAAGGGGGGACGGAGAAGGCUAUGUUGGCCGGGCGACGGUUGUCCCGGUUUAAGCGUGUAGGCUGGUUUUCCAGGCAAAUCCGGAAAAUCAAGGCUGAGGCGUGAUGACGAGGCACUACGGUGUUGAAGCAACAAAUGCCCUGCUUCCAGGAAAAGCCUCUAAGCAUCAGGUAACAUCAAAUCGUACCCCAAACCGACACAGGUGGUCAGGUAGAGAAUACCAAGGCGCUUGAGAGAACUCGGGUGAAGGAACUAGGCAAAAUGGUGCCGUAACUUCGGGAGAAGG